This 24-nucleotide non-coding RNA is filed under the name Cricetulus griseus (Chinese hamster). Lineage: Eukaryota; Metazoa; Chordata; Mammalia; Rodentia; Cricetidae. The record is from RNAcentral.
UACUUUCUGGCAAGUUUCUAUACG